RNAcentral lists this ribosomal RNA (253 nucleotides) under uncultured bacterium. Its description in RNAcentral is "partial 16S ribosomal RNA". It matches the Rfam family "Bacterial small subunit ribosomal RNA", at positions 524 to 776 of the family's 1533-position model. The record is from RNAcentral.
UACGAAGGGGGCUAGCGUUGCUCGGAAUCACUGGGCGUAAAGCGCACGUAGGCGGAUCCUUAAGUCGGGGGUGAAAUCCUGGAGCUCAACUCCAGAACUGCCUUCGAUACUGAGGAUCUCGAGUCCGGGAGAGGUGAGUGGAACUGCGAGUGUAGAGGUGAAAUUCGUAGAUAUUCGCAAGAACACCAGUGGCGAAGGCGGCUAACUGGUCCGGUUCUGACGCUGAGGCGCGAAAGCGUGGGGAGCAAACAGG